RNAcentral lists this ribosomal RNA (253 nucleotides) under uncultured bacterium. RNAcentral's name for it is "partial 16S ribosomal RNA". It matches the Rfam family "Bacterial small subunit ribosomal RNA", at positions 524 to 776 of the family's 1533-position model. The record is from RNAcentral.
UACGUAGGUGGCAAGCGUUAUCCGGAUUUAUUGGGUGUAAAGGGCGUGUAGGCGGGAGCGCAAGUCAGAUGUGAAAACUCAGGGCUCAACCCUGAGCCUGCAUUUGAAACUGUGUUUCUUGAGUGCUGGAGAGGCAAUCGGAAUUCCGUGUGUAGCGGUGAAAUGCGUAGAUAUACGGAAGAACACCAGUGGCGAAGGCGGCUCUCUGGUCUGCAACUGACGCUGAGGCUCGAAAGCAUGGGUAGCGAACAGG